Molecule: long non-coding RNA, 259 nt
Filed under: Carica papaya (papaya)
Lineage: Eukaryota; Viridiplantae; Streptophyta; Magnoliopsida; Brassicales; Caricaceae
Description: long non-coding RNA (CPAP_LNC005380)
Source: RNAcentral
CCGGAGAAGAAAAACCAGACGCCGGAGGAGCCGAUCGCCACCACCUGCCGCUGCACCAAAGAAUUUUCUGACCGCCAAUUGAGGUAAAGUUUCUCCCCCUUGCUCAUUUUUCGAUGCUGAAUCCGCCUAUGGCCAAACUAGAGCCAAACCACUUGCCAAUUGGCCGAAAAACCCCGCCGAAGUCUGGCGGUGCAGCCGCGGCUUCCCUCUAUUUUUGCCUCCGAUGAGUCCCUUCCUGACCUCCGUUCGAUGGAAAUUU